This 29-nucleotide non-coding RNA is filed under the name Mus musculus (house mouse). The record is from RNAcentral. Lineage: Eukaryota; Metazoa; Chordata; Mammalia; Rodentia; Muridae.
UCUGAUGAUCUUCAUAUACUCCUAAGGCA